Formica exsecta is the source of this 1512-nucleotide long non-coding RNA. RefSeq lists it as uncharacterized. The transcript is spliced from 2 exons. Lineage: Eukaryota; Metazoa; Arthropoda; Insecta; Hymenoptera; Formicidae. The record is from RefSeq and is a predicted model, not a curated record.
CACUUCGGGUAGUGCGUUCGGGCAGUGAGUUGUUCCGUGUGCGUAAAGACGUGCGUGAUAAUAUAAUAGUGACACGCGUGUUCGCGUUUCGCGAGAGACACCGGUUCCUGAAUUGGACAAAAGCAAGAAUAAAAUCUGAAUCACUUGUGAUCGAACAGUUUCGAAUCAUUAUCGCGGAUAUUGUUGAUCACGGUGAUACGCUCGUAGAAGAUCCCGAGCUUUGAACCGCGUAUCCUCGAUAAUCGGUAACUCGAUUCUCGAUAACAGAAUUAUUAGCGUUAAUUAUCGGUUAACUCGCGAUGUACGACGUACUGUGCGAAUUGUCACUCGUGUAUCUCGCACGAGAAGUCUCGGAGGACGAUGUUUGAACGAUUGAGAAAAGACGACUCUGUUUCGCGCCAUUUCGUUACGUGAUCAGUGCGUACGCCAUUAGCGUCGCGAUUAUAUCGCAGUGAUAUUUCAUUAUUCGACGUGCGACACGCGAACUGGAUACAUCUCCGACGAUUGUGACGAGGACAGGAACGAGAAGAUUCAGAUAAAAACGUGAGUUAUUUUUCUGAUGUAAGAAAAACGCGCGUGUACACGCACGAUUGUUGACAUUCCUUCGACGACAAGGUAUACGCAAUUGAAACGUGUUUUUGUGUUUGUACGUUGACUGUAUCUUGAAUAUGUGCGUUACGGCGGGAUUCUCGUGUUCCCUCGUAUUCGUGCGCGUCUACAAUUGACUUUUGUGCAUCCUGUGCUUCGUCGUGGGACAACAUGGCACGAAGGAGCCACCGCCAAUUAUGCGCGCUGUUCUUCCUCCUCCUCUUCGCGGACAUCUUAAAAGGUGGAAAUGGCGAUAUUGAGGAUUCGGAUACUGACGUACAGGACUACAGCACGGACGAGGACUACAACGAUGUUUUCGACUCGACCAGUAACGGGUGAGUGUUAUAUAUCUAUCUACAACCCCUAUUCUCUUAUCGUCUUAUCGCGGGAUUAAAUGCAGAACAUAUAUCCGUCUAACUAGCACCGUGCUUAAUUAGCAAUUAAAAUUGCUAUCGAUCGCGUCCAUCAACGAUGACCGAAGACUUCCUACCUGUAUCCGGGCGAAAUUGCCGAGACAAGCAAGAAACCGACCCUUUUUAAUUGCGUUACACUUUCACAUACACAUACUAUCGCAUUCUUUUUUGUGAGGACUUAAAAACAAAGGACGAAAUGAGAAUACUUCGUUGAAUCGCGUCAAAGUAUCUGUUCGGAUAAUUGGCUUAUCCUGAUCGAGUAGAACGCGAUUAGCAAUAUUAACGGAUUCUGAUUCAUAUAUACAUUUCAUUAUAAUUAAUUAUCAUAUCGUUAGUUAUACUUAUUUUUUAUUAUUAUUCAACAAAACAAAAUUUAUAUGUAUAUUUCCUGCGUGAGAGAUGGAAGAAAAUACAUCCUAAUAAAAAUAUAAAAAAUACAACAAUUUUGCUUAAAUGGAAAAUUUUUUUCCAGAAAAAUGUUUUAAUAUCGAAAUUAAAAAAAAAAAAAAAA